GGCCUCAUCGUCUAGCGGUUAGGACACUGGGUUCUCAUCCCAGCAACCGGGGUUCGAUUCCCCGUGAGGUCACCA
RNAcentral lists this transfer RNA (75 nucleotides) under Candidatus Saccharimonadota bacterium. Its description in RNAcentral is "tRNA-Glu". It matches the Rfam family "tRNA". Rfam says of the family: Transfer RNA (tRNA) molecules are approximately 80 nucleotides in length. Their secondary structure includes four short double-helical elements and three loops (D, anti-codon, and T loops). RNAcentral also lists the same sequence under 1 other name. Lineage: Bacteria; Candidatus Saccharimonadota. The record is from RNAcentral.